GUGUCAGCAGCCGCGGUAAGACAGAGGGUGCAAACGUUGUUCGGAAUUACUGGGCGUAAAGCGCGUGUAGGCGGCACGGCAAGUCGGAUGUGAAAUCCCGUGGCUCAACCAUGGAAGUGCACCCGAAACUGCCGAGCUGGAGUCCCGGAGAGGAAGGUGGAAUGCUUGGUGUAGAGGUGAAAUUCGUAGAUAUCAAGCGGAACACCGGUGGCGAAGGCGACCUUCUGGACGGUGACUGACGCUGAGACGCGAAAGCGUGGGGAGCAAACAGGAUUAGAAACCCCUGUAGUCC
RNAcentral lists this ribosomal RNA (292 nucleotides) under uncultured bacterium. RNAcentral describes it as "partial 16S ribosomal RNA". It matches the Rfam family "Bacterial small subunit ribosomal RNA", at positions 505 to 796 of the family's 1533-position model. The record is from RNAcentral.